CGCGGAGAAGGAGGGGGAGGGAGGCGAGGAGAGGGGCCGGCUCGGCGAGGCCAUGUGAUGCUGGGCGAGAGAGCCGCCGCCGCCGGAGCCGCCUUCUUUCCUCCUCGGAUCCCGGGCCGCCAUGGCGACCCCCAACAACCUGACCCCCACCAACUGCAGCUGGUGGCCCAUCUCGGCGCUGGAGAGCGAUGCGGCCAAGCCGGCCGAGGCCCCCGACGCGCCCGAGGCGGCCAGCCCCGCCCAUUGGCCCCGGGAGAGCCUGGUCCUGUACCACUGGACGCAGUCCUUCAGCUCGCAGAAGGUGCGACUGGUGAUCGCCGAGAAGGGCCUGGCAUGUGAGGAGUGGGACGUGAGCCUGCCGCAGAGCGAGCACAAGGAGCCCUGGUUCAUGCGGCUCAACCUGGGCGAGGAGGUGCCUGUCAUCAUCCACCGUGACAACAUCAUCAGCGACUACGACCAGAUCAUCGACUACGUAGAGCGCACCUUCACGGGAGAGCACGUGGUGGCCCUGAUGCCCGAGGCGGGCAGCCCGCAGCACGCACGGGUGCUGCAAUACCGGGAGCUGCUGGACGCGCUGCCCAUGGACGCCUACACGCAUGGCUGCAUCCUGCACCCUGAGCUCACCACCGACUCCAUGAUCCCCAAGUACGCCACGGCAGAGAUCCGCAGACAUUUAGCCAACGCCACCACGGACCUCAUGAAACUGGACCACGAAGAGGAGCCCCAGCUCUCGGAGCCCUACCUGUCUAAGCAGAAGAAGCUCAUGGCCAAGAUCCUGGAGCAUGACGACGUGAGCUACCUGAAGAAGAUCCUCGGGGAGCUGGCCAUGGUGCUCGACCAGAUCGAGGCUGAGCUGGAGAAGAGGAAGCUGGAGAACGAGGGGCAGAAGUGUGAGCUGUGGCUCUGUGGCUGUGCCUUCACCCUUGCGGACGUGCUCCUGGGGGCCACCCUGCACCGCCUCAAGUUCCUGGGACUGUCUAAGAAGUACUGGGAGGACGGCAGCCGGCCCAACCUGCGGUCCUUCUUUGAGCGCGUCCAGAGACGCUUUGCCUUCCGGAAAGUCCUGGGCGACGUCCACACCACCCUGCUGUCAGCGGUCAUCCCCAACGCGUUCCGGCUGGUCAAGCGGAAGCCCCCGUCGUUCUUCGGGGCGUCCUUCCUCAUGGGCUCCCUGGGCGGGAUGGGCUACUUCGCCUACUGGUACCUCAAGAAAAAAUACAUCUAGAGCCGGCGGGGCUCGCCCGACUGUUGGUGUCUGUGCUGUGUGAUUCCCAAUGACCUCAGAAACCCACUGUCCCUCCAACACUGGACAGCACUUCCACCCCUCGUUCUGAGUAGUUCUGUUGUCGGUGUAAAAACCUUCCAUAGUUGUAGAAGUAGCCGUUGCCAAUGCUGUGACCUGAGGCCAUGGCUCUGCUAGAGAGAGAGAGAGAGAGAGAGAGAAACGAAACAGAAUGCCUUUUCUUUCGAUUCAAGGUCUCAACAUGGAACUGUGGGGACUGGUUAGGGUCUGAGGUGAGUCCCCGGCCUUGCCAUCCAACAGGGCCCAGGUUCUGGGAGGUGCCGGGGGCUCCGAGAACCUGACCGCUCGCCUCCCUUCCCUCUUGCCAGGACAAAGCCAACACCAAGACACAACUCUGCCAACCAGCACCUGGGGCUGGCUGAGGCUGGAGAGCCAGAGACCCCGUGGAGGCCCCUGAAGAUCAGAAGGGGCUUCAUUCUUCUCCUGGACAUGGACUAAGACAGCACUGGCCAAGGCAGUGGCACCCCAAAGCCUGACCAUGGCUGGGACAGACACCAUGAGCAUCCCCCGGUCCUCCUCCUGAGUGUGUCCAGUCUGGCGUUCAGUAGCGAUUCCCUCGGGCAGCAGCCAUCAGCACUCCCUACCUUGAGUUGUUUUCCCAUCCCAUGAGGUGGGACUUUCAGCAAAAGCCACGUUGGCCUUCUCUCAGAAGGUCAAUGCUCCAGCCCUGCAGCGUCUCCCAGCCGGCAUCGGAACAGAGCCUUCAGUAGCCCAUUUCAAUGUUCUGUGAAUCUGGCUGCUUCUGGGUACAAGAGUAAGGACAUGACAAGACCAGAAGUUUCCAUUGGUAUGACCCCUUUGCUGCUCUUCCCUUGCUGUAACCUCGAUUCUUUGGUCAAAGCAAUGUCACAUGGAAUACCAAGACUGAGCCCAGACAUCCUAUGUCCUUGUGUGUAGUGGUCAGAGACGGCAAAUCCACAUGGAGAGCCAGUGAGGACCAACUGCUGCUUCCUCUAUAAUGGAAAUGGUUCCACGUAGAUGAAUGUGAUGAAUGGUUCCAUGUCAUAACUCUGGGCAAUCUGUGCACUCAACAGUGAUAUUGACUAAAUAGGGUUUUUUUUUUUGUGUGUGUGUGUGUGUGUAUGUAUGUGUGUGAUGCUGGGGAUCGAAUCCAGGGCCUUGUGCAUGUGAGGAAAGCACUCUACCAACUGAGCUAUGUCUCUAGCCCCCUAAAUAGGUUUUUUACGAGAGGAAGUCCGUGUUAUACCAUUUAUAACCCAUCAGUGACCACGCCCGUUCUCAUGAACCUAUUGGACAAGCACAAGGGUAUCUGGGGAAAGAGAAUGACUAAUAGCUACAAAACAAGGAAUUUUUUCCCCUGGUAUAUUGACCCAUGACCUCCUCUGCAGUGGCUACCUUUGGGGGAACAUGCACGUAGGACACAUUACCCUCCCAUUCUAUGCGCACACGCCUUCUCCCACAGACCUCCUUGUUACCAAUCCUGCAAUCUUUUCUUUCCAUGUUCCUGAUCAUCCAGCCAAACCCUCUAUCCCAUGCAUAUGUAGGUUCAUAUUUCGGACUUCUGUCUCCACUUGAAAAGUGGUCAACCAGAUGGACGGCUUGGACCUGUGUUCUUGGAAGCUAUUUGCCUUCUGCAGUGUCUUCCAGGGCACCCUGCAGUGCUGUAACCAUCCACUUCCACCUGGCACCAGGCCCGAGUUUUUUCUUCCUCCAUCAACUGACCACAGGGACUUCACCACAAGACCUUGGGUACUGAUUGAGGAAGAGGCAGCAAUGUGGCAGAACAGAUGGCAUUGUGCUAUCACUUUCACUUGGUAAAAUGCUGCUGUACAUGCAUGUCUUGGCUUGACAGGUCAGAUGACACCCAAAUCGUGACUGAGUGCUCAGCCAGGUUGCAUAGCACUUGGUGUCUCGUGGGCAGGAGUUCAGUCUCUACAGGGCCCAGAAGGAAGCCCGAUGCUAUUUCUUAAAAGGACAAUCAAUUAUCAUUUGCAGAAGAGGAAAUUGUGGGGUAUGCUGAGAUUUUCCGACUGGGACUUGCUGGAAGCUCAAUGCCAUGUGCCUGUUUCAGAGACAACUGAGGCACCAUUCAUUGGAUGUGCUGGGUCACAGGCUCCAUUGACAGAGUAUCUUGCACCGCAGCCUGAAUUGCAUUGGGACCCAUUCAAAACUGGCAGAAUUCUGGGUUAUUCAGCAAAUAAUUCAAAGAAACACGUGUGCAUGGGCAUGUGUUGCCUCUGGUUGGGCAGCCAAUCAGUGAGGAAGAAGAGAAGAGAUUUCAGGGACAGCUAGCAGCCUCUGACAUAGGAGUAACUGAAAAAGAAGACUGCUGGAAAGGUUGGUGGGUGCAGAGGAAGCCCAGGCUGGCGGACAGCAAGACUGCCAUCUGCUGGUUCCACAUAUGGGGAAACCAGGAUCCUGCAUGAGAUGGCGGGUGGUUGAGUCAGGACCCCACUGCCACAGAGCUAGAACCAGGAGUCCUUUCCCUGGUCUCAUUCUGUCUCUGAGAAUAUCAUGGAGGAAAUCUAGGGUGUCGACAGGUAUUUACUCUAAAUUCAUGGGCUGCUGGGCCAUGGGGGAUGCAGAGGUGACGGCAGGUGGCUAUUGGAGUUCUCUAGUCAGGAAGAUGGGCAACAGCACUCCGGACUAUGGCAACAGGGGCUCCUGAGUUUACACUGUCAGCUGGGCGAGGUGGGGCACACCUGUAGUCCCAGCCACUUGGAGGCUGAAGGGGGAGGAUCACUUGAACCCAGGAGCUGGAGACCAGCUUGGGCAACAUAGUGAGACCCCAUCCUCCCAAAAGAGAAAAAAAUAAAAGAAAGGCUUCUCUGACAUUCCCUGAAGAAUUCCUGCUGGGAGGACAGUAAGGGCUGCUGAAGGUCAUAGUUUCUUCUGUUUGUUGGUUUCUUAUUGCCAAAGUUACAGACUUGAUGACCCAGGUCACUCCAGCAUAUCCCCAAAGUCCUAUCUGGCUCUUCUCUAGCAACCUGGGCCCACACUGCCUAAGGGCCUCAGUUUUCUCAUCUCUGAAAUGGAGCUGGUGACACUAACAGCUGCCAUUCAUUAAGUACUAGGAAAUAUGCAUAAUUUCAAACCCUAAGAAGCAUGGAUAAUUGUUUUUCAUUGAUGAAAUGAAGACUCAGAAUUCAAGAACUCAUGGUUCUAGUAGUAGAUUAUACUAUGGGUCUUCCCAACAGCAUUGCAUAGCCACAGCCUUUGACACGAAACUUCAGCCCCUCUCACUGUGGGUGGAGUUUAUUCCCUGCCCCAUCAAGCCUGGUUUUUCCGGGUGACCUUCUUGUGUUAGUGGAAUAUUGGUGAAAGGAUAUAACUUAACCACUGAGCCAUAUCCCCAGCCCUUUUUAUUGUUUGUUUUGAGACAGGGUCUUGCUAAGUUGCUUAAGGCCUCCCUAAAUAGCUAAAGCUGGCUUUGAACUUGCGAUCCUCCUGCCUCAGCCUCCUGAGUCACUGGGAUUACAGGCAUGCACCACCAUAUCCAGUGGGCAGAGGUUUUAAAUGUGCUAUGUGGUUCAGCUUGGACAUGGGUACCAGCAACCAUCAAAAGGGGAGCAUGCCCCUAAGUAGUUGCUGCCCUUUUUUCUGGAUGCCAGAACAAAACUAGCAAAACAGGACUGAGCCUAUCUUGUGGCUUACAGCCAGGCAGAGCCGCCCCCCAGGCUGCAGCAGAGCUCAACAGCUGAGGGCAGCCCAUAGUAGCAGAGUUGACCUGCAUUUGCUGUAAGUCAGUAAGUCUGUUGGGAGAUGUGUUAUUACCAAGCAGUAUUAGAGCAGUAGCUGACUAAUAUACUGGCAGAACUGGGCUAUGAAGUCAGAUAUGUUUGAAGCCAAAGUCCCAGCUAUUUUCUCUUGGUCUGUAUUGGAGGGAACCACAGGUGAGGUGAUACAUUAAAAUGUCAAGCAUCAGACUAAAAAUAAUCAAGAACAAACACCAGUUGUUAAUCUUAUUCAUGUUGCAUUAGAUUGAUGACAUGGAGAAAUUUCAGGGUUAUUGAGGAAAUUUAGUUGUUAGAGGGUCUGCCCCUGAGAGAGAGAGUCAUUAAGCAAAGAUAAAUCUCUUCGAUACUAAGCAGGUCUCAUGGGUGUCUGAUAUCUCAAAGCUUAUUUUCCCAUCUGUGAUUGCAUUAGGCCAAACAGUGACUAGUGAGACAGAAAGUAUUCUCAUUUUGUAGUUGAGUAACAAAUCAGAGAGGCUAACUGCUUUGCCCAGGGUCACGUGCUGAGGAAUUGAAUGCAGGCUUCUUGGUUUCCAGUCCAGGUCAGUUCAGGAGAGCUGGUUUAUGCCCCCGCCGCUCACCCUGCAUCAGUCCCCAGCAGCAAGAGGUGCCUGGCAGAUGAAGUACGCUCAGGAAGUGCAGGCGGAAGCCAGGGCAGGUGCAAGGGGUGCCAGUGGGAACACGCAGCUGGCUCAGGCAGGCCCCAAAUGACUUUGUUCCAGAAAUUAAGAUCUAAUCAUGGAGGUUCCCACACUCCCCCACCCACUUACCUCCUAAGCACUCGGCGACCUCAGAAGCUCAGACACUGGGUGGCACACCUGGCAGAGAAGGCAGCGGGUGGCAGGGCUCUGUGAUAAGGCUCCCCGCCCAGGGCCCCGGAGGAAGCAUCCUGGGACCAGCGGUGGGCAGCCCGUAGUUCCCUGGGUGGACAGCACCUCAGACAGCACCGGGACCUACUUUACCUUGGCCAGAAGGACGCCACCAGUUCAAGGCUCUUUCUUUCAGCUGUCCUGGAAAAUGGCUCCCUCCCUCUCCAGUAACUUCGUUAACCUGGAAACCAGAAGGCAGAGUCUGAGGUGCUCCGGGGCCACGCCGGAGCACAGGGACACAGCCUUACCUGUUCAACAGCACCUCUGUGAACUGAAAACGCGCUCGUGGUGGGUUUUCUUUCUCCUGGUAAAGUAAGUUAUGCUACUGGUGACACACUAGGACCUACCACACCUUGGACGACCCUCGUGUUGUCCUCCCACACAAGGUCCUGUUCUAAGCACCUCACAAGCUUUAAUCCCCACAACACUUCAAUGUAGGUACCAUCCCUCAUUUUACAGAUGAAGAAACUGAGACCCAGAGAGGUUAGGUGCUUGCUCCAGGGUGCACAGCCAGUGUGGAUGUUAGGGUUAGGAUUGGAAACCAGGCAGCCUGUUAACCUCCUUGGUCCUUUUACUUCCCUAAAUGCUUUAUGUAAUUGUCUCUGCCUGAGCUGUGAAAAUGUCAGGGUCCAUUGGGGAAACACUGCUUCUGAUGCUCUGCACACUGUCUGAUGUGGCGAUUUCGUUGUCUGAAUGUGGUUGAACUGCAACCCAUGGAGGCAGGUCGGAGUCUGAGUUAAUGCUGCACUCCCCCCCUCGCCUAACACAGAAACUAGAACACUGGGUGCUCCCCAACUACUGGGUGACUGAUGAGUGAGGAGAGGCACCGUGAACCCCACCUUACACGCCCGAAGCAGGGGCUCAGAGCUGACCUGGUUGAGGACACACAGCUGCGAGUUAUAGUCAGCACGAGCCCAGAUCUUCCGCUCCAGACUCAGGCUAGCUAGGACGUCACUCAUUCUUGGUAGCAACUGCAUUAUGUGACUCACAGAGUUACUAUAAUUUAUGUAACUGAUAUAAUUUAUGUAACUGUCAUUUGGGUUUUGACAAGUUUUCACUCUUGCAGCAACUAUAAUAAAAAUCUUUCUGUACACAUUUCUGUAGUGCAAACCCCUA
Molecule: RNA transcript, 6983 nt
Organism: Marmota monax (woodchuck)
Lineage: Eukaryota; Metazoa; Chordata; Mammalia; Rodentia; Sciuridae
Gene: Gdap1l1
Gene name: ganglioside induced differentiation associated protein 1 like 1
Exons: 7
Source: RefSeq, a predicted model, not a curated record